AUGAAGGUGAGGGUUGGAUGGGAGCCCCCACAAAGGUAUCACAUGUAUAGUAUGUCGGUUAAAAAUCUUAUUCUUACUAACGAUAAGCAUUGGGAUGUCAAUAAAAUUGGUCAAUUAUUUUCACCUGAGGUCGGUAAUGUUAUUAUGCAGGUACCCCUUUUGGAGGAAGUCAGGGAUGAUUGUUUAGUUUGGAAAGAGGAACAAAAUGGUGUUUCUAGUGUUAAAACAUGUUAUAAACUUUGGAUGCAUGGCCUUCACAAUUAUAGGGGUAAAUGUGUGGAAGGAGAUUGA
Non-coding RNA from Vicia faba (fava bean), 291 nucleotides. The record is from the annotation of a GenBank genome assembly. Lineage: Eukaryota; Viridiplantae; Streptophyta; Magnoliopsida; Fabales; Fabaceae.